UACACAAAGUCUUAAGAGUUGGAUGGGACCUCAAAAGAUCAUCUAGUCCAACCCCCCUGCCAGAGCAGGGCCACCUGCAGUAGGUUACAGAGGAACUCAUCCAGAUACUUGUUGCUUCCUCAUUCGGUGAAAAUGGAGCAAACCUACAUGGGAAAUGGCAUGCCUCAGCCAGAGGAGACUGCUAUGCAGAGGCUCAAGAUGGUCUCCAAGCUACCCACAAGGCUUAAGCAGAUGUGGAGUGCCACAAAUGCAGCUGUACAUUAUUGCUGACCCAUAGAUCUCAAGAUUUCAAGAUUCACUUCAGCCUCCAGAUGACAAAGGGGUGGAAAUCUGCGAAAUACACCUUCUCAAUUAAAACUUCUAAUAUUGUUUCUUCCAGUUAACACACCUGGGAAUUCUAAAAAUCCUGGCUAUGGGACUACCUAUUAUCAGGCUGCAUAUUAACCUGUCUUAUAUGCAUUCCCACAUCCAAAAUAAUCUACACAUAUGUUUGACAUGAAGUGGCAAGCUCUGAGAGUACAGCUUUUAGGCAGGUAGAAAUUUAAUGGCUUUCUGUGAGAGAUUUAUCAAAACUGAACCAUCCCCAAAACUAUUUUAAAAUCAAAACAUUAAAAAAAAAAAAUAUAGUGUCAUUUUUUAAAAACCAAUUCUAAUAAGAGCAAAUAAAGAAAGUCUCAAAACUUAACGGGAGGAACUAACAGGAAAAGGAUCUGUACCAGUGUCAUAACAUCUAAUUGUUUGAUGCAAAGUAUGAGGAUAAAUGGAGACACAGUAGCCACUAACUAUAUAAUUACCUGGCCAUCUAACUGUCACUCUUUAUGACAAACUGAACUUUCCAAAGCAAGUGUAUUAGAGAAAGUAGUUAGGAAAAACAUGUAUACACACACUUCACAGUAUAGUACUUCUAUGUAUGUAUUUCUUUUUCCCUCUUUUGUAAGAUUGUGUAGAACUUUGGUCAUUUAGCAAAGUGUAGGCAUGACGUUUAUGUGCUACAUAUUUGGUACAAUGGACAGUGAUCCUAAAGUAUUAAACGUAUUUCUCCUUUAAACCUUUGAUCUCUGUAACAAGAUGGAAGCACCUGUCCUAUAUGCUUUGCUUCGCCCCCAGUCCUUCCUUCUGAAAGUGUUUAUGUGAGAGGCAGUAAUUCAGAAAAAGCAUCACUAUUCUCUGGUAAGUCAGGUCACCUGAAGAGGAGUCUCCCCUAAAGAGGAGGUCUUGGAUUUUUGGUACUAUUUUAUAAAGUAUACAUGAGAAAGAGAUUUUGUCAGUAGAGACAUUUUUGACAGGGAACACAGGGCUUGAGGGUUUUUCACUUCAAGUUAGGGGAAACAGAAACACCAGCAAUACAGAUCUGACCUUUCUGAGUUACAGGGCUCUCUGGUUCAAGGAAAGAUUUCUGUUGUGUUUAGCUGUAAAUGAGCACUCUAUACAUUCUAUAUGCUCUCUUCCUUUCCUGCGAGUAGGUGCAUUCAUUAUUCCUAACUUUUCCCUCCUUUUUACAAGUGAGUGUUUGGAGGUAGGCAGAAUGUACAGCUUUUAAACAACUUUACUAGAUGAUCAGAAUUCAGGCAAAAGAGGCAAGGCGUUUCCUAGGGUCCAUCUGAACUGAUGGACAGGGUGUGGCACUCCAGAAAUUCACAAUGCCUUUGAACUGCCUCUUCCCAUUGACUACAGAAGGAGCUGUCAUUGUCCACUUGUAUGGUGAAUUUGAGUGAAUAUUUUUGUUGGUGUUCAAAGCUGAUGCAUGAAGAUACUAAUUUCUUACUCCAGAAAAAUAUUCAUAAGGUAUUACUAGAAGAGACAGAAAACAUAAUUGUUAUUGGAGAUAGUCUUUAAAG
This is a long non-coding RNA of Colius striatus (speckled mousebird), 1838 nucleotides long. RefSeq lists it as uncharacterized. Lineage: Eukaryota; Metazoa; Chordata; Aves; Coliiformes; Coliidae. The record is from RefSeq and is a predicted model, not a curated record. The transcript has 3 exons.